RNAcentral lists this ribosomal RNA (497 nucleotides) under uncultured bacterium. RNAcentral's name for it is "bacterial SSU rRNA". It matches the Rfam family "Bacterial small subunit ribosomal RNA", at positions 355 to 873 of the family's 1533-position model. The record is from RNAcentral.
UGAGGGAUCUUGCACAAUGGGGGCAACCCUGAUGCAGCGACGCCGCGUGGGUGAGGAAGGCCUUCGGGUCGUAAAGCCCUUUUCUGCGUGACGAGGAAGGACGGUAGCGCAGGAAGAAGCGUCGGCUAACUACGUGCCAGCAGCCGCGGUAAAACGUAGGACGCGAGCGUUAUCCGGAGUUACUGGGCGUAAAGGGCGUGCAGGCGGGAGCGCAAGUCACGCGUGAAAGUCUUCGGCUCAACCGGGGGAAGACGGGUGAUACUGCGAUUCUAGAGGGCGCUAGAGGGACACGGAAUUCCGGGUGUAGUGGUGAAAUGCGUAGAGAUCCGGAGGAACACCAGUGGCGCAGGCGGUGUUCUGGGGCGCACCUGACGCUGAGACGCGAAAGCAUGGGGAGCGAACGGGAUUAGAAACCCCGGUAGUCCAUGCCGUAAACGAUGCCGACUAGCGGUCUGGGGAAACCUGGGUCGCGCAGCAAACGCGAUAAGUCGGCCGCC